CAGGGAGACAACAAAAUGUUAAAUAUUAUUAUUUUGUCACCUUAGGUCGAUCGGUAUCUCAUGUUCUUAAUUUGUUAAGAAUUUCAUUUCCUAAGUUUUUCUAGGUCACACCCAUUAUUUUUCCUGGGCCAUUAGCUCAGGUGGUUAGAGCGCACCCCUGAUAAGGGUGAGGUCCCUGGUUCAAGUCCAGGAUGGCCCAUAUCUCUAUGUUGGGGGUAUAGCUCAGUUGGUAGAGCGCCUGCUUUGCAAGCAGGAUGUCAGCGGUUCGAGUCCGCUUACCUCCACUGAUUACCACCUCUUACAUAACCGGUAGAAAGGAAAUGUUUUGAGUUGUGAUCAUUAUUCUGAACGAAUCUAGCUUCCUAAAAAAAUCAUUAAGAUGCUGGACUCAUUGAAUUAAUUUCAUUGUUUUCAGAGAACCUUGACAACUGCAUAGAUUAUUUUAAAGACAAUAAGCAUCUUUAAUGAUGCAGAUUUAUUAUUUGUGCGAAUGCAUUAAUAACAAUUCUAUUAAGCUGAUGCUUCAGUUUUUGAAGUUAUU
This 541-nucleotide transfer RNA is filed under the name uncultured Prochlorococcus sp. RNAcentral describes it as "partial 16S-23S ribosomal RNA intergenic spacer". The stretch from base 212 to 284 matches the Rfam family "tRNA". The record is from RNAcentral. Lineage: Bacteria; Bacillati; Cyanobacteriota; Cyanophyceae; Synechococcales; Prochlorococcaceae.